Unclassified non-coding RNA from Vulpes vulpes (red fox), 247 nucleotides. Its record names the gene 7SK. It matches the Rfam family "7SK RNA". From Rfam's summary of the family: 7SK was discovered as an abundant small nuclear RNA in the mid-70s but a possible function has only recently been suggested. NCBI's taxonomy places the organism in Eukaryota, Metazoa, Chordata, Mammalia, Carnivora, Canidae. The record is from Ensembl.
GGAUGUGAGGAUGAUCUGGCUGCCACAUCUGUCAUGCCAUUGAUUGCCAGGGUUGGUUUGACAUGAACUUGCUGGGGAACAUGUCCCCUUCUUCUCACUGCUCCAUGUGUGUCCCUGCUGAAACUGCACUCCCCUGCUAAAAAGUCUAAACAAGCUCUCAAGGUCCAUUUAUCAGAGAAUGUAGUUAGGCUUUUAAGACUCAAAUACAUCCAGAUGAGGUGCUGCAUAUGGCACUCUGCAUUUCUUU